This 259-nucleotide ribosomal RNA is filed under the name uncultured Leptotrichia sp. RNAcentral describes it as "partial 16S ribosomal RNA". It matches the Rfam family "Bacterial small subunit ribosomal RNA", at positions 96 to 355 of the family's 1533-position model. Lineage: Bacteria; Fusobacteriati; Fusobacteriota; Fusobacteriia; Fusobacteriales; Leptotrichiaceae. The record is from RNAcentral.
UGGCGGACGGGUGAGUAACGCGUAAAGAACUUGCCCUUUAGACUGGGAUAACAGAGGGAAACUUCUGAUAAUACUGGAUAAGUUAGUAUAUCGCAUGAUAUACAAAUGAAAGCUACGGCACUAAAGGAGAGCUUUGCGUCCUAUUAGCUAGUUGGUAAGGUAAGAGCUUACCAAGGCGAUGAUAGGUAGCCGGCCUGAGAGGGUGGACGGCCACAAGGGGACUGAGAUACGGCCCUUACUCCUACGGGAGGCAGCAGCC